RNAcentral lists this small RNA (138 nucleotides) under Phormidium sp. OSCR. Its description in RNAcentral is "HEARO". It matches the Rfam family "HNH endonuclease-associated RNA and ORF (HEARO) RNA", at positions 1 to 132 of the family's 211-position model. Lineage: Bacteria; Bacillati; Cyanobacteriota; Cyanophyceae; Oscillatoriales; Oscillatoriaceae. The record is from RNAcentral.
GUCAGCACCCCCGGCUGAAGCACGGGGGCUUCGUGCCCUCCCCUUCAGGUAGCUGACCAGCUUAAGCCUUAACGGGCUACGUUCAGAGCAAGAGUUAACGUUCCUACCCGUGAAUGCGUGCUAGUUCCCGGCUCUAGA